GUGAAUCAUCGAAUCUUUGAACGCAAAUUGCACUCUCUGGCAUCCCGGUGAGUAUGCCUGUUUGAGGGUCAGUUUAAUUUAAAUCGGCGUGUCGCUUUCGCGUUGCACCGGUGGUUUUGUCUUCUUAGCUUUAGGUUAAGAGUCGUAUAAUUAUUAACUUUUUUGCGCGCUUUUAGACGUACAUAAUUUUUUUUAUUCGUCUAUUCCUGUGCCAAAAUUUACUCGUUACGAUUAUCUUGUGCCUA
RNAcentral lists this unclassified non-coding RNA (245 nucleotides) under Glomeraceae sp. RNAcentral describes it as "partial contains 5.8S ribosomal RNA and internal transcribed spacer 2". The stretch from base 1 to 71 matches the Rfam family "5.8S ribosomal RNA", at positions 84 to 154 of the family's 154-position model. The record is from RNAcentral. Lineage: Eukaryota; Fungi; Glomeromycota; Glomeromycetes; Glomerales; Glomeraceae.